RNAcentral lists this ribosomal RNA (440 nucleotides) under uncultured bacterium. RNAcentral describes it as "partial 16S ribosomal RNA". It matches the Rfam family "Bacterial small subunit ribosomal RNA", at positions 338 to 795 of the family's 1533-position model. The record is from RNAcentral.
CCUACGGGGGGCAGCAGUUGGGAAUAUUGCGCAAUGGGGGGAACCCUGAUCCAGCGACGCCGCGUGAGUGAAGAAGUAUUUCGGUACGUAAAGCUCUCUCAGCAGGGAAGAAAAUGACGGUACCUGACUAAAAAGCCCCGGCUAACUACGUGCCAGCAGCCGCGGUAAUACGUAGGGUGCAAGCUUUAUCCGGAUUUACUGGGUGUAAAGGGAGCGUAGGCGGGUCUUUAAGCGUGCCGUGAAAUGUUGUGGCUCAACCAGGAGACUGCGGCGCGAACUGGAGACCUAGAGUGCGCGGAGGGCAGGCGGAAUUCGUGGUGUAGCGGUGAAAUGCUUAGAUAUCAGGAAGAACACCGAUGGCGAAGGCAGCCUGCCGGAGCGUUACUGACGCUGAAGCUCGAAAGCGAGGGGAGCGAACAGGAUUAGAUACCCGAGUAGUC